RNAcentral lists this ribosomal RNA (227 nucleotides) under Camponotus coptobregma. Its description in RNAcentral is "partial large subunit ribosomal RNA". RNAcentral also lists the same sequence under 2 other names. Lineage: Eukaryota; Metazoa; Arthropoda; Insecta; Hymenoptera; Formicidae. The record is from RNAcentral.
GAAUUUUAUAUAAAAGUUUUAAUUAAUUUUAUUAAAUAAUUUUUUUUGGGGUUUUAUAUUUAGUUGGGAGGAUUAUUAAAUUAUAUAAACUUUAAUAAAAAUUGAAAACAUUAAUUUAUGAUGAUUUUUUUUGGAUUAAGAUUUUUACGAAUUUUAUAGAAGAAUUAAUUACCUUAGGGAUAACAGCGUGAUAUUUUUAGAAAGAUCUUAUUGAUAAAAAUGAUUGC